UCCAGUUUCUCACUAACACCCAGAGGUAGCGAAUGAUUUCUCAAUAAUGCAGUGUUCAGCUGCUCAAUUGCUCCCAAGCUACAUAGCUCAUCAUGUUUUUACACUGCUCUUUAUCUGCAGCCAUUUCAAUUCCCAGCAACAGCGAGAACAGAAAGAAGCAGCACUCAUUUCAGAAAGCAAGCCUAGAAAAAACCAUGCAGAAGCUCCAUGAAGGGACAGAAUCCAAAGGAUGCUACACUAUAAGACUGCUCUCUCCUAGGUGACAGCGUCAGCACUGUGCUGAUCCCUGUGCUGCGUAAGCUCAGCUGUUUGUGUGGCAGUACAGCAAAAUAAACAAAGGAAUUGGUCUGUCUGAAAAAUUAUCAAAGGAAUAGGCAGAAUGUGGGCAGAAACAUGUGGCUGAAACUGGUGAUGUGGGACAAAUGCUGCUUGAGAAAGUGAUACAGACUGCCAAACCAAGAGCUGGCUUCUGAAGAAAACUGGAGCUUUUCUCUAAGCCAGAAGUGUGUUGGCUUGUUAAAGACAAGCUAUCUUUAGCUGCAAUUAGAGCUGAUUAUCUCAGCUCUCCCAAAAUGGUCACUCUAGAGCAGAGACUGGCUGCCUGAUAGUCAUGUGGAGGCUUGUGGCUCUCAGGUCCAGACUCAAGAGGAGCUCUUGGGGACCACCCUGUCUCCAGAAGCACACUGUGGCUAGACUGCAUGGGGAUUAAUAAGCAAGCUUAUCUAACAGCUGGGGACCAAAUCUGCUUGGCUGAAAGCCAGGAUAGAUGACAACAGAGAAAAAUAAAUUUCUUUCUGAACUGCA
Coturnix japonica (Japanese quail) is the source of this 804-nucleotide long non-coding RNA. RefSeq lists it as uncharacterized. Lineage: Eukaryota; Metazoa; Chordata; Aves; Galliformes; Phasianidae. The record is from RefSeq and is a predicted model, not a curated record.